UACGUAGGGUGCGAGCGUUGUCCGGAAUUAUUGGGCGUAAAGAGCUCGUAGGCGGCCUGUCGCGUCGGAUGUGAAAGCCCGGGGCUUAACCCCGGGAGGCGGAUGGAUACUGCUGAGCUCGAGUCCGGAAGAGGCGAGUGGAAUUCCUGGUGUAGCGGUGAAAUGCGCAGAUAUCAGGAGGAACACCAAUGGCGAAGGCAGCUCGCUGGGACGGUACUGACGCUGAGGAGCGAAAGCAUGGGGAGCGAACAGG
Molecule: ribosomal RNA, 253 nt
Filed under: uncultured bacterium
Lineage: Bacteria
Description: partial 16S ribosomal RNA
Rfam family: Bacterial small subunit ribosomal RNA
Source: RNAcentral